Molecule: ribosomal RNA, 240 nt
Filed under: uncultured bacterium
Lineage: Bacteria
Description: partial 16S ribosomal RNA
Rfam family: Bacterial small subunit ribosomal RNA
Source: RNAcentral
GAUCCUAGCUCAGGAUGAACGCUAGCUACAGGCUUAACACAUGCAAGUCGAGGGGCAGCAUGAAAGGAACUUCGGUUCUUUUUGAUGGCGACCGGCGCACGGGUGCGUAACGCGUAUCGAACCUGCCUCAUACUCGGGGAUAGCCUUGCGAAAGUAAGAUUAAUACCCGGCGGUCUUGGAUGGCCGCAUGACUAUCCGAGUGAAGAUUUAUCGGUAUGAGAUGGCGAUGCGUCCCAUUAG